AAUGGAGAAUGAUACCCCAGACUCAAAGAGUAUGCAAAAGCAGAAAGAUAUAUUCUACAGUAAUCCAGCAUGCAGGGGACUACCAUUCAUCAAAAUGGUAACUAGGAGACUAAGAAAGCAACUUACUCCAGAGACCCAGUAGAAAAGUCCUACAAGGGAUGGAACAGUGAGCUACGCCCCCAGACACAAAUGCUUGACACCACACCCUCAACUUCAUCAUUCUGUGGCCAUCAGUCACAUAGGCUGUCCAAGCUCUACCCCCACAGUUACCUGGAAAUAGCCAGGAUCCACCUGGCUGGAGCAAUGGAGCAGGUUUCCCUCUAAGGAGCUGUGCAUCUAAUCUCCAGUUGGGAGGCCUUCCUGCGCUCUAGCCAUGGGCUACAGCCAAACCAAGCCACCUGCUGAGCUAGCAGACUGAGCUAGCCAGACUCUGGACUGUUGGAGACCAUACCGUGAGAAAGUUUGCGGUUCCCCUCGUACUCACAAAUAACUGGGUCCUGCUGGUCGGGACACUGGACGACCCAGAAACCACCCAGCACCUCUCAUGCCCCUUUUCCCUUCGGCCCUGGGACACUGGUGCCCCAACUCUUUCUCAGCUCUUCCUCUGUGUCCCAAGAGCUAGAACCUGUCAUCCCUGGCUUCUGUGAGGCCCAGGGACCCCAGACUGCUCCCUCUCCACCCCCACAGACUGGGGUUCCGUGGCUUCCCAUAGCCAGACGGCCACCCAGGCAGCGUGAAGAGCACGACGUGGUAGUUCCCCACAUCCGCCUGCCCAGAGCCCCGGAGCUCUAGUGGGACGAGGGUCAUCUCUCCCACCCACUUUAUUUCCCCACGUCUGGCGCCUGACACUAUGUCUUCACUAAUUGUUCAACACUGAACUGCUAAAAAUGCAGAUAAGUAACAGUAUGCUUGAUAGGU
Mus musculus (house mouse) is the source of this 918-nucleotide long non-coding RNA. RefSeq annotates it as predicted gene, 51699. The transcript has 4 exons. The record is from RefSeq and is a predicted model, not a curated record. Lineage: Eukaryota; Metazoa; Chordata; Mammalia; Rodentia; Muridae.